AGUUUUUCCUGGAGACUUCUUAACAACUUGCUUUUUAGCAGGGGUGAUGUCUGGGACAUCGUCUUCGACAUCCUCUUCAAAGUCAGAACUCUCUCUUUCUUUCCUCUUUCUAACCUCAACUUUACUCUAAGACUUGGAGGGUCCUACACCAGCAACCUUUUUCUCUCUUCUUGCUGUCCUCAUUUCAGCCAUAGUCUUCCCUUUUCUGGUCCUCAGUUUCUUAGCUACACUUGGUUUUACAAGAUGGACCAAAGUGUCAUCC
RNAcentral lists this long non-coding RNA (262 nucleotides) under Lathyrus oleraceus (garden pea). Its description in RNAcentral is "Pisum sativum (pea) long non-coding RNA (PSAT_LNC028792)". Lineage: Eukaryota; Viridiplantae; Streptophyta; Magnoliopsida; Fabales; Fabaceae. The record is from RNAcentral.